AUACCAUGAUGAGGACAUCUCCUGAGUAACUUCUAAAAUCUCUCACAUGCAUCACACAAGCUCUCAUCUUCAAGUUGAUGGAAAGAUGUGAUCUCGUUCCUCAACUU
Molecule: non-coding RNA, 107 nt
Organism: Citrus sinensis (sweet orange)
Lineage: Eukaryota; Viridiplantae; Streptophyta; Magnoliopsida; Sapindales; Rutaceae
Source: Rfam